RNAcentral lists this ribosomal RNA (830 nucleotides) under Tricharina gilva. Its description in RNAcentral is "partial large subunit ribosomal RNA". It matches the Rfam family "Eukaryotic large subunit ribosomal RNA", at positions 65 to 909 of the family's 3401-position model. The record is from RNAcentral. Lineage: Eukaryota; Fungi; Ascomycota; Pezizomycetes; Pezizales; Pyronemataceae.
CCAACAGGGAUUGCCCUAGUAACGGCGAGUGAAGCGGCAACAGCUCAAAUUUGAAAUCGGUGUCCUUCUCGGGCAUCGAGUUGUAAUUUGGAGGGAUAACUUCGGUACGGACUACAUCGUAAGUUCCUUGGAACAGGACGUCAUAGAGGGUGAGAAUCCCGUGUCUUGGUGUUUGGCCGUGCCAUGUGAAGUGUCUCCGACGAGUCGAGUUGUUUGGGAAUGCAGCUCAAAAUGGGUGGUAAAUUUCAUCUAAAGCUAAAUAUUGGCGAGAGACCGAUAGCGCACAAGUAGAGUGAUCGAAAGAUGAAAAGCACUUUGAAAAGAGAGUUAAAAAGUACGUGAAAUUGUUGAAAGGGAAGCGCUUGCGACCAGACUCGAUCUUUGGUGAUCAGCCGGGCUUCGGUCCGGUGCCCUCACCAUUGAUUGGGCCAGCAUCGGUUCUGACGGCGGGACAAAAGGAGGAGGAAUGUGGCUCCCCUCGGGGAGUGUUAUAGCCUUCUUCACAAUGCCGCCAGUUGGGACCGAGGACCGCGCUUCGGCUAGGAUGCUGGCGUAAUGGUCUUAAGCGACCCGUCUUGAAACACGGACCAAGGAGUCUAACAUCUAUGCGAGUGUUCGGGUGGAAAACCCUUGCGCGUAAUGAAAGUGAACGGAGGUGUGAACCCUUUACCGGGUGCAACAUCGACCGGUCCUGAUGUCUUCGGAAGGAUCUGAGUAAGAGCAUAGCUGUUGGGACCCGAAAGAUGGUGAACUAUGCCUGAAUAGGGUGAAGCCAGAGGAAACUCUGGUGGAGGCUCGCAGCGGUUCUGACGUGCAAAUCGAUCGUCAAA